RNAcentral lists this ribosomal RNA (561 nucleotides) under Holothuria leucospilota. RNAcentral describes it as "partial 16S ribosomal RNA". It matches the Rfam family "Bacterial large subunit ribosomal RNA", at positions 1796 to 2624 of the family's 2925-position model. The record is from RNAcentral. Lineage: Eukaryota; Metazoa; Echinodermata; Holothuroidea; Aspidochirotida; Holothuriidae.
UCGCCUGUUUUACAAAAACAUAGCCCCUUGAACAUAUAAAGGGUCCCGCCUGCCCAGUGACCUCAAAGGUUAAACGGCCGCGGUAUCUUGACCGUGCAAAGGUAGCAUAAUCACUUGUCUUUUAAAUGGAGACCUGUAUGAACGGCAAAACCUUUUCAAACUGUCUCCCUCCCUAACCUUUUAAACUCCCUUUUACGCGAAGAAGCGUGAAUACAUCAGAAAGACGAGAAGACCCUGUCGAGCUUCAGCCAAUAAGUGAGCCGACAAAACCUAUGCGUUAGCAUCACCCAAAGGCUUUGGUUGGGGUAACCAUGGAGAACACUAAUCCUCCAGAACAAGCAGACGAACUCUCUUCCCUACUAAACGAGCUAAAGAACCAGGAACUGGUAAUCGGAAAAAGUUACCGCAGGGAUAACAGCGUCAUCCCCUUUAAGAGUCCUUAUUGACAAGGGGGUUUGCGACCUCGAUGUUGGAUUAGGGCCCCCUUAGGGUGCAGAAGCUCUAAACGGUUAGACUGUUCGUCUAUUAAAGCCCUACAUGAUCUGAGUUAAAACCCGGAGA